This 664-nucleotide unclassified non-coding RNA is filed under the name Debaryomyces sp. IHEM 27931. RNAcentral's name for it is "sequence contains 18S rRNA gene, ITS1, 5.8S rRNA gene, ITS2, 28S rRNA gene". The stretch from base 254 to 407 matches the Rfam family "5.8S ribosomal RNA". Lineage: Eukaryota; Fungi; Ascomycota; Pichiomycetes; Serinales; Debaryomycetaceae. The record is from RNAcentral.
UGGAAGUAAAAGUCGUAACAAGGUUUCCGUAGGUGAACCUGCGGAAGGAUCAUUACAGUAUUCUUUUUGCCAGCGCUUAAUUGCGCGGCGAAAAAACCUUACACACAGUGUUUUUUGUUAUUACAAGAACUUUUGCUUUGGUCUGGACUAGAAAUAGUUUGGGCCAGAGGUUACUGAACUAAACUUCAAUAUUUAUAUUGAAUUGUUAUUUAUUUAAUUGUCAAUUUGUUGAUUAAAUUCAAAAAAUCUUCAAAACUUUCAACAACGGAUCUCUUGGUUCUCGCAUCGAUGAAGAACGCAGCGAAAUGCGAUAAGUAAUAUGAAUUGCAGAUUUUCGUGAAUCAUCGAAUCUUUGAACGCACAUUGCGCCCUCUGGUAUUCCAGAGGGCAUGCCUGUUUGAGCGUCAUUUCUCUCUCAAACCUUCGGGUUUGGUAUUGAGUGAUACUCUUAGUCGAACUAGGCGUUUGCUUGAAAUGUAUUGGCAUGAGUGGUACUGGAUAGUGCUAUAUGACUUUCAAUGUAUUAGGUUUAUCCAACUCGUUGAAUAGUUUAAUGGUAUAUUUCUCGGUAUUCUAGGCUCGGCCUUACAAUAUAACAAACAAGUUUGACCUCAAAUCAGGUAGGACUACCCGCUGAACUUAAGCAUAUCAAUAAGCGGAGGAA